GGACGGCAACACGAUCCUCGUGGGCAAUCCAGGGCCGAACGCGGUGGCGUUCAGUAUCUUCCGGUCCCUGCCCUACAAAGCCGAUCAGUUACAGCCGGUCAGCAACGCGAUCCGGAUUCCCAAUAUCGUGUCGGCGCAUCCCUCGAGCGGGAUCAAGUCGAUCAAGGAACUGAUCACCUACCUCAAGGCCAAUCCGGACAAGCUGAACUACGGGACGUCGGGGGUCGGACAAAGCCCGCACCUCACGGCCGUCUGGUUCAUGCAAUUGACCGGCGUGAAGAUGA
Molecule: unclassified non-coding RNA, 284 nt
Filed under: Hevea brasiliensis (rubber tree)
Lineage: Eukaryota; Viridiplantae; Streptophyta; Magnoliopsida; Malpighiales; Euphorbiaceae
Source: RNAcentral